AACGAACGCUGGCGGCAGGCCUAACACAUGCAAGUCGAAGGAGAAGCUAUUUCGGUAGUGGAGACUGGCGGACGGGUGAGUAACACGUGGGAACCUGCCCUUCAGUUCGGGAUAACAGUUGGAAACGACUGCUAAUACCGAAUAUUCCCUACGGGGGAAAGAUUUAUCGCUGAAGGAUGGGCCCGCGGUUGAUUAGAUAGUUGGUGGGGUAAUGGCCUACCAAGUCGACGAUCAAUAGCUGGUUUGAGAGGAUGAUCAGCCACACUGGGACUGAGACACGGCCCAGACUCCUACGGGAGGCAGCAGUGGGGAAUAUUGGACAAUGGGGGCAACCCUGAUCCAGCCAUGCCGCGUGAGUGAAGAAGGCCCUAGGGUUGUAAAGCUCUUUCGCUCGUGAGGAUAAUGACUGUAGCGAGUAAAGAAGCCCCGGCUAACUUCG
Molecule: ribosomal RNA, 439 nt
Filed under: uncultured Alphaproteobacteria bacterium
Lineage: Bacteria; Pseudomonadati; Pseudomonadota; Alphaproteobacteria
Description: bacterial SSU rRNA
Rfam family: Bacterial small subunit ribosomal RNA
Source: RNAcentral